AGUUCUAUCGGAAAGCUGAUUCAGUUCAGUCUGUUAUGGGCAAGGGACUAAAUCGGUCGUCAGUUAUUUGUUCAUAAAUGGGAUAACAGUACUAAUUUAGUGUCAUUUAGGCAACAACGGUCCACAUUUAUUUUAAAUUUUUUUGUGGAUUCUCAUUUUGUGUGCUUUUUGAUGUUUAACGCAGUUUGCAAAAAGCUGGUGGUACAAAGCAGCUUUAGGAUCAACUUUUUCCCUCUCUGGGGUUGUCAUCACUUUGUCGCUAGUGAGAGGUUUUGAAUCUAAAACUAACGUGACCCAGAUUGGGCGGCAGCAAACAUGGCCACUUCUCCAUGUUGGGAGCGGCUGAUCUAAGCAUUCGCCAACACGAUCCAAAUUGAUUGGUAAAUAUUUAAAAAAAACACAUAGCGACAACAUGCUG
Dendroctonus ponderosae (mountain pine beetle) is the source of this 418-nucleotide long non-coding RNA. RefSeq lists it as uncharacterized. The transcript has 3 exons. Lineage: Eukaryota; Metazoa; Arthropoda; Insecta; Coleoptera; Curculionidae. The record is from RefSeq and is a predicted model, not a curated record.